Molecule: ribosomal RNA, 750 nt
Filed under: Brevundimonas sp.
Lineage: Bacteria; Pseudomonadati; Pseudomonadota; Alphaproteobacteria; Caulobacterales; Caulobacteraceae
Description: bacterial SSU rRNA
Rfam family: Bacterial small subunit ribosomal RNA
Source: RNAcentral
UCAGAGCGAACGCUGGCGGCAGGCCUAACACAUGCAAGUCGAACGAAGUCUUCGGACUUAGUGGCGGACGGGUGAGUAACACGUGGGAACGUGCCUCUAGGUUCGGAAUAACUCAGGGAAACUUGUGCUAAUACCGAAUGUGCCCUUCGGGGGAAAGAUUUAUCGCCUUUAGAGCGGCCCGCGUCUGAUUAGCUAGUUGGUGAGGUAAAGGCUCACCAAGGCGACGAUCAGUAGCUGGUCUGAGAGGAUGAUCAGCCACAUUGGGACUGAGACACGGCCCAAACUCCUACGGGAGGCAGCAGUGGGGAAUCUUGCGCAAUGGGCGAAAGCCUGACGCAGCCAUGCCGCGUGAAUGAUGAAGGUCUUAGGAUUGUAAAAUUCUUUCACCGGGGACGAUAAUGACGGUACCCGGAGAAGAAGCCCCGGCUAACUUCGUGCCAGCAGCCGCGGUAAUACGAAGGGGGCUAGCGUUGCUCGGAAUUACUGGGCGUAAAGGGAGCGUAGGCGGACAUUUAAGUCAGGGGUGAAAUCCCGGGGCUCAACCUCGGAAUUGCCUUUGAUACUGGGUGUCUUGAGUGUGAGAGAAGGUAUGUGGAACUCCGAGUGUAGAGGUGAAAUUCGUAGAUAUUCGGAAGAACACCAGUGGCGAAGGCGACAUACUGGCUCAUUACUGACGCUGAGGCUCGAAAGCGUGGGGAGCAAACAGGAUUAGAUACCCUGGUAGUCCACGCCGUAAACGAUGAUUGCUAG